This 465-nucleotide ribosomal RNA is filed under the name Vreelandella stevensii. RNAcentral's name for it is "partial 16S ribosomal RNA". It matches the Rfam family "Bacterial small subunit ribosomal RNA", at positions 338 to 795 of the family's 1533-position model. Lineage: Bacteria; Pseudomonadati; Pseudomonadota; Gammaproteobacteria; Oceanospirillales; Halomonadaceae. The record is from RNAcentral.
CCUACGGGCGGCUGCAGUGGGGAAUAUUGGACAAUGGGGGGAACCCUGAUCCAGCCAUGCCGCGUGUGUGAAGAAGGCCCUCGGGUUGUAAAGCACUUUCAGUGAGGAAGAACGCCUGGUAGUUAAUACCCAUCAGGAAAGACAUCACUCACAGAAGAAGCACCGGCUAACUCCGUGCCAGCAGCCGCGGUAAUACGGAGGGUGCGAGCGUUAAUCGGAAUUACUGGGCGUAAAGCGCGCGUAGGUGGCUUGAUAAGCCGGUUGUGAAAGCCCCGGGCUCAACCUGGGAACGGCAUCCGGAACUGUCAAGCUAGAGUGCAGGAGAGGAAGGUAGAAUUCCCGGUGUAGCGGUGAAAUGCGUAGAGAUCGGGAGGAAUACCAGUGGCGAAGGCGGCCUUCUGGACUGACACUGACACUGAGGUGCGAAAGCGUGGGUAGCAAACAGGAUUAGAUACCCUGGUAGUC